Molecule: ribosomal RNA, 759 nt
Filed under: uncultured bacterium
Lineage: Bacteria
Description: bacterial SSU rRNA
Rfam family: Bacterial small subunit ribosomal RNA
Source: RNAcentral
GCAAGUCGAACGCGUCUUGGUUAUUGAUGUUAGAUGCUUGCAUUUAACUGACUUAACAUUGAGACGAGUGGCGAACUGGUGAGUAACACGUGGGUAACCUGCCCUUGAAGUAGGGGAUAACACUUGGAAACAGGUGCUAAUACCGUAUAACAACCAAAACCACCUGGUUUUGGUUUAAAAGAUGGCUUCGGCUAUCACUUUAGGAUGGACCCGCGGCGUAUUAGCUUGUUGGUAAGGUAACGGCCUACCAAGGCAAUGAUACGUAGCCGACCUGAGAGGGUAAUCGGCCACAUUGGGACUGAGACACGGCCCAAACUCCUACGGGAGGCAGCAGUAGGGAAUCUUCCACAAUGGACGAAAGUCUGAUGGAGCAACGCCGCGUGAGUGAUGAAGGGUUUCGGCUCGUAAAACUCUGUUGUUGGAGAAGAACAGGUGUGAGGUGAGAGUAACUGUUCACAUCUUGACGGUAUCCAACCAGAAAGCCACGGCUAACUACGUGCCAGCAGCCGCGGUAAUACGUAGGUGGCAAGCGUUGUCCGGAUUUAUUGGGCGUAAAGCGAGCGCAGGCGGUUUCUUAGGUCUGAUGUGAAAGCCUUCGGCUUAACCGGAAAAGUGCAUCGGAAACCAGGAGACUUGAGUGCAGAAGAGGACAGUGGAACUCCAUGUGUAGCGGUGAAAUGCGUAGAUAUAUGGAAGAACACCAGUGGCGAAGGCGGCUGUCUGGUCUGUAACUGACGCUGAGGCUCGAAAGCAUGGGUA